AUUGAACGCUGGCGGUAGGCCUAACACAUGCAAGUCGAACGCGAAAGUCCUUCGGGAUGAGUAGAGUGGCGGACGGGUGAGUAACGCGUAGGAAUCUAUCCUGUAGUGGGGGAUAACGUUUCGAAAGGAACGCUAAUACCGCAUACGCCCCACGGGGGAAAGCGGGGGAGUCUUCGGACCUCGUGCUAUAGGAGGAGCCUGCGUCGGAUUAGCUAGUUGGUGAGGUAAAGGCUCACCAAGGCGACGAUCCGUAGCUGGUCUGAGAGGAUGAUCAGCCACACCGGAACUGAGACACGGUCCGGACUCCUACGGGAGGCAGCAGUGGGGAAUAUUGCGCAAUGGGCGAAAGCCUGACGCAGCCAUACCGCGUGUGUGAAGAAGGGCCUUCGGGUUGU
RNAcentral lists this ribosomal RNA (395 nucleotides) under uncultured bacterium. Its description in RNAcentral is "bacterial SSU rRNA". It matches the Rfam family "Bacterial small subunit ribosomal RNA", at positions 30 to 426 of the family's 1533-position model. The record is from RNAcentral.